Long non-coding RNA from Prionailurus viverrinus (fishing cat), 1691 nucleotides. RefSeq lists it as uncharacterized. The record is from RefSeq and is a predicted model, not a curated record. Lineage: Eukaryota; Metazoa; Chordata; Mammalia; Carnivora; Felidae. The transcript has 9 exons.
UCAGCGAGCUCCCGAAGAAACCAGGGCGGCGGGGAGAGCGAGACCCGCGCCUCGGGCUCCAGGGAGGGAAAGAAAGCUACAGAAAACCGGAGCGGGGCUGCACUUCACGCUGAAGUUUCCCUUUUGAAUCGUCUGGAGUUAUGGCCCCUAAAACCAAGCAGAUGACUUCAUCUGGUGUUCAACCAAAAGAAAAUGGUCUGUUCCAAGACUGAAGGAAAAAUUGGCAGUGUUGAACUUAUUAAGAAGCAGUAUGACUGCAGAUUCUACUUUAUGGACAAUAUAAGGCAUUUUCAAGAGGAAAGUUGAAUAUAUGGAAUUUUCUUCUUAAAUAGUGACUUGAAUACUUAACCACCACAGAAGAUGCAACUCCAUGACAAUCUGGCAACAGAGAAUUCUAGUCAGAAAUCAAGCUGGGAAUCUCUACCAUCAAGAAAGCUAAAGAUAAGUGCUGUACACAAGAUGUCAACUGGGUCAACAUCCUAAGUACCUGAGAAAUGCAAGGAGCAGCCCAGCAUGUCAUCUCAGCACACCGGAGGGGAAUAAAGCCCCAAAUGCAUUUCCAGUAUAAUAAGAGAAAGGUCUCAAGCAAAGCAAAAUGGAAACAACACUGGAACAGAUGCAGAAGUCUAAUAAGAACGUCUUCUCGGACAAAGCUAUUUUAAUGAAAGCGACAUUCUGUGCAACCUCCCUGAUUCCUCCUCGUGUUCAACCACCCAAAUUAGAUUCACUUCAUUGGCUGUUUUCAUCAGGUUUCACAACACUGAGGACUAUCCAAAAGAAAUAAAAGUGGGCUCCACACCCAAUGUGGGGCUUGAACUCACAAGACCCUGAGAUCAAGAGUCACUACUGACUGAGCCAGCCAGGUGCCCCCUCUGGGCCUUUUCUGAAGCAGUCUCUGAACCUCACUGAACCCAAUUCCAAACACAGGAGAGAGUUAUCUACUUGCUAAGCCUAAAAUGUUGAUGUGGAACAAGAACAAAUUUACAUUACCUUUUUGGAUUCACUGGAAACAGUUUUAGCCAACAAGCUCUGACAGAGACAUAAUCUUAAUGUACCUGAACUCUAGAAAGCCAUGGUGAAAGCCAGGAAUUUGGACUGCAUUGUAAAAAGUGACUGCACCAGUUUGAAUUUCUACCACCAGUGCAAGAGGUUUCCCCUGAAGAAAAUGAUUCAAAGUCCUAUAAGAAAUAAGAAAGGAAAAAGCUAGUACGAGGCUGACUGGGUCUAGCCUAAUCUAAAGGAAGACUCCAAAGUCACACAACAAAUGGUGAAGAUACAGGAAAGGGUGAAGAAUCAAGGCUCAAAAAUGCACCCUACCACAGGGUCCAGGGAUAUUACCAAAGAUACGAAAACUGAAGCUGAGAAUAAUCAAGAAUGCAACCUAAAUCCCAUAGCCACUCAGUGGUAAACCUGGAAUUUCUUUCUAAGCAUAUAAUACAAGUAAAGUGCCUACCAAAUUGCCUUGUGCACAGUAAAUAUUAGUAAUUUUUAACCAUUUUUAAUAUUGUUAUUUCUAUAACUUAAGUUUUAUAUAACUGUUGUCUGAAAGACAUUAAAAAUUUUUAAUAUCAUUUCUAAGUGGACAUAAAAGAGAUAUAAAAAUCUAUUAUGAUCUAGUUGUUCAGAUAUCUUAAUUUUUCCCCAAAGUAUAUUUCAGCAGAGAAUGUAAGGACAAAGAGAAGAUUUGUAAA